UCCUCCCUCUUUCUUCGUGCCUAAUACAUGCAAGUUGAGCGAUGAAGAUUGGUGCUUGCCCCAAUUUGAAGAGCAGCGAACGGGUGAGUAACGCGUGGGGAAUCUGCCUUUGAGCGGGGGACAACAUUUGGAAACGAAUGCUAAUACCGCAUAACAACUUUAAACAUAAGUUUUAAGUUUGAAAGAUGCAAUUGCAUCACUCAAAGAUGAUCCCGCGUUGUAUUAGCUAGUUGGUGAGGUAAAGGCUCACCAAGGCGAUGAUACAUAGCCGACCUGAGAGGGUGAUCGGCCACAUUGGGACUGAGACACGGCCCAAACUCCUACGGGAGGCAGCAGUAGGGAAUCUUCGGCAAUGGACGAAAGUCUGACCGAGCAACGCCGCGUGAGUGAAGAAGGUUUUCGGAUCGUAAAACUCUGUUGGUAGAGAAGAACGUUGGUGAGAGUGGAAAGCUCAUCAAGUGACGGUAACUACCCAGAAAGGGACGGCUAACUACGUG
Molecule: ribosomal RNA, 497 nt
Filed under: uncultured bacterium
Lineage: Bacteria
Description: partial 16S ribosomal RNA
Rfam family: Bacterial small subunit ribosomal RNA
Source: RNAcentral